UUACAGGAAAUCCAGUGUUAAACUCAAACACACAGCUGUGUGUAGUUUAGACUCUGUGUUGACUGGCUGCUGUCCUGACAGGCUGAGAGGGCUCAUGUGGUAAAAGAUGGUCAGAGAUGUAUUUUGAUCUGAAGCCACUGAGGGAUUUACAGCAGCAGUAAUUUAAACUCUUUUCUAUGACACAGUGGAGGUCAGUGCAGAGGCCUGAGAAUCGCUGUGAUGUGUUCACCUUCUUAUCAUCACCUUUGUAUCUUUUCUAGGACAGGAGCUGAGGUAGGAGGCGAUGAAGGACCCUGAGAAAAGAGCCUGAUGCUACUGAAAAUAAACAUCAACAUCUUCUCUGAACUGUUUUUUGUCCUGAAGAGCUGUUGUAUCUCUUCUUUAACAGCACCACCCGGCGAGCACGCCUCGUGAAACAAACCCAACAUCCGCCUUUGGACUAAAUCGCAAAUGGCGGAUCAGACCUCGAUGACCCUCGGUGAGGAGUGAGGCCUGUCUGCCGGUGUGGAUGAUCCCGCUGUGACCGCUGAGGCUCAUUCAACUCUGGAUGUUUGAAAACUUUGAGGAGCGUAUUCCAACAGAGACUGAGUGGAUCUGUUAUAUUUUGCACCGAGAAUGAACGAGUAAAGCUGGACCUCGAGGAGCUACCUGGCGGUGCACGAGACAACAGGUGCUUCAAGUGAAAAUUAUACAAAGGAGAGGAUGUGACGGACAAGGACAAGGAUCCACCAAGAUGCCAGUUUUUUCUACACUUCUCUCUUUGAAGCUGGAUCAGAUUAUAAAGUACAAGCAGCGGGGUGGAUUCGACCCAGCCACUCCAGGACCAGUACGACCUCACAGCCACAAACACGUCCACCACACCACCGAGUACCCUUCACACUGGGCAUCUCUCUCUGAGCACUUUUCAGUCUUGCUGCACAGGGUGAGAAUUGAACCAGUGACCUCUGAACUAUGAAGCAGAUUUCUAAUGGGCUAAGCUAUUUAAUCAUGUUUUCAUGCAGUUGUGAACUUCAAAAUUCAUUGCCUCUUAUGAGGAUCGAACCCUUUAAUAG
This is a long non-coding RNA of Lates calcarifer (barramundi perch), 1052 nucleotides long. RefSeq lists it as uncharacterized. Lineage: Eukaryota; Metazoa; Chordata; Actinopteri; Centropomidae. The transcript is spliced from 4 exons. The record is from RefSeq and is a predicted model, not a curated record.